This 478-nucleotide ribosomal RNA is filed under the name uncultured bacterium. Its description in RNAcentral is "partial 16S ribosomal RNA". It matches the Rfam family "Bacterial small subunit ribosomal RNA", at positions 28 to 523 of the family's 1533-position model. The record is from RNAcentral.
GACGAACGCUGGCGGCGUGCUUAACACAUGCAAGUCGAACGGUAAGGCCCUUCGGGGUACACGAGUGGCGAACGGGUGAGUAACACGUGGGUGAUCUGCCCUGCACUUCGGGAUAAGCCUGGGAAACUGGGUCUAAUACCGGAUAGGACCACUGCCUGCAUGGGUGGUGGUGGAAAGCUUUUGCGGUGUGGGAUGGGCCCGCGGCCUAUCAGCUUGUUGGGGGGGUGAUGGCCUACCAAGGCGACGACGGGGAGCCGGCCUGGGAGGGUGACCGGCCACACUGGGACUGAGAUACGGCCCAGACUCCUACGGGAGGCAGCAGUGGGGAAUAUUGCACAAUGGGCGCAAGCCUGAUGCAGCGACGCCGCGUGAGGGAUGACGGCCUUCGGGUUGUAAACCUCUUUCAGCACCGACGAAGCGCAAGUGACGGUAGGUGCAGAAGAAGGACCGGCCAACUACGUGCCAGCCGCCGCCGUAA